GAUGAACGCUGGCGGCGUGCCUAAUACAUGCAAGUCGAGCGAACGGACGAGAAGCUUGCUUCUCUGAUGUUAGCGGCGGACGGGUGAGUAACACGUGGAUAACCUACCUAUAAGACUGGGAUAACUUCGGGAAACCGGAGCUAAUACCGGAUAAUAUUUUGAACCGCAUGGUUCAAAAGUGAAAGACGGUCUUGCUGUCACUUAUAGAUGGAUCCGCGCUGCAUUAGCUAGUUGGUAAGGUAACGGCUUACCAAGGCAACGAUGCAUAGCCGACCUGAGAGGGUGAUCGGCCACACUGGAACUGAGACACGGUCCAGACUCCUACGGGAGGCAGCAGUAGGGAAUCUUCCGCAAUGGGCGAAAGCCUGACGGAGCAACGCCGCGUGAGUGAUGAAGGUCUUCGGAUCGUAAAACUCUGUUAUUAGGGAAGAACAUAUGUGUAAGUAACUGUGCACAUCUUGACGGUACCUAAUCAGAAAGCCACGGCUAACUACGUGCCAGCAGCCGCGGUAAUACGUAGGUGGCAAGCGUUAUCCGGAAUUAUUGGGCGUAAAGCGCGCGUAGGCGGUUUUUUAAGUCUGAUGUGAAAGCCCACGGCUCAACCGUGGAGGGUCAUUGGAAACUGGAAAACUUAAGUGCAGAAGAGGAAAGUGGAAUUCCAUGUGUAGCGGUGAAAUGCGCAGAGAUAUGGAGGAACACCAGUGGCGAAGGCGACUUUCUGGUCUGUAACUGACGCUGAUGUGCGAAAGCGUGGGGAUCAAACAGGAUUAGAUACCCUGGUAGUCCACGCCAAAAACGAUGAGUGCUAAGAGUUGGGGGGUUUCCCCCCCUCAGUGCUGCAGCUAACGCAUUAAGCACUCCGCCUGGGGAGUACGACCGCAAGGUUGAAACUCAAAGGAAUUGACGGGGACCCGCACAACCGGUGGAGCACAUGGUUUAAUUCGAAGCAACGCGAAGAACCUUACCAAAUCUUGACAUCCUUUGACAACUCUAGAGAUAGAGCCUUCCCCUUCGGGGGACAAAGUGACAGGUGGUGCAUGGUUGUCGUCAGCUCGCGUCGUGAGAUGUUGGGUUAAGUCCCGCAACGAGCGCAACCCUUAAGCUUAGUUGCCAUCAUUAAGUUGGGCACUCUAAGUUGACUGCCGGUGACAAACCGGAGGAAGGUGGGGAUGACGUCAAAUCAUCAUGCCCCUUAUGAUUUGGGCUACACACGUGCUACAAUGGACAAUACAAAGGGCAGCGAAACCGCGAGGUCAAGCAAAUCCCAUAAAGUUGUUCUCAGUUCGGAUUGUAGUCUGCAACUCGACUACAUGAAGCUGGAAUCGCUAGUAAUCGUAGAUCAGCAUGCUACGGUGAAUACGUUCCCGGG
This 1369-nucleotide ribosomal RNA is filed under the name uncultured bacterium. RNAcentral's name for it is "16S ribosomal RNA". It matches the Rfam family "Bacterial small subunit ribosomal RNA", at positions 28 to 1378 of the family's 1533-position model. The record is from RNAcentral.